RNAcentral lists this long non-coding RNA (888 nucleotides) under Medicago truncatula (barrel medic). Its description in RNAcentral is "long non-coding RNA (MTRU_LNC006966)". Lineage: Eukaryota; Viridiplantae; Streptophyta; Magnoliopsida; Fabales; Fabaceae. The record is from RNAcentral.
UUUAGAAAAUUAGAGAGAAGUAUGGUUAAGACCUUCGAAUCCUCCGAGGUUCUCCUAUGGUAAUUUGCACUACUAAUUCAAACAAUGAUUAUCUAGGUUCACGACAGAUUAACACAAUAACUCUACCCAAUCUCUUGAUCUAGAAUUCUCCCCGCAAGUGGCAACCCCUUAAUCUCUUAAGUGAAUUCAAAAUCAUUGGAGGUUUUAACAGAACGUUAAACCCUAUGUCAUAACCUAAUAAUGAUCUAUCUCUAGGUUGAUUACUUAGAUUAAACUUAUUACCUAGUUCAGAGUCAAAAGUCAGGGUUAGUGGUCAUUCAAUCUCUAAGAUCAAUUUGCAUAUUCAUAAAGCUAGGGUUAGUAGUCGAUGAUAAACAUACAAAAAGCAUUAAACAUAAAGUAACAUGAAUAAACACUGACUUUCAUUGAUAUUCAAAGGAGUUCAACAAAUUAAGGUUCCCAUAAGAUUACAUCAGAUUCAUCUAAAUCUCAACCACUUGGAAAAUUAGCUACUCAUAAUUAUAGAAUUAAACAACAUGAUAAAAGAAAUUACAAACAAGAGAUGUCACGCUCCUGAAGUUUUCUGCAAUCAUAGAUGUCCUUCUAUCUCUUGUGUUGCAUGCUGUAGCUUCCUUUCCCAAUUGAUCCUAAUCUCCAAAACCGUAAUCUCUAAGUACCAAGCCGUGAUUUACCAAAACAUUAUUGAAUACUUUCAUGGUAGUGUAGCGCCUCCUUUUAUAGCAAAGAUGAUUGGUUUCUUUUCUUUGGUUACGGAUCAGACACUUCCUUGGCCCAACAAAUUUCAAUGCCAUUCUCUCAUUUUCUUAUUCACACCAGCCCAUAGUACAAAGCCAAGUGGCACAAUAAUUUCAAUUCAUAACAAAGUUU